RNAcentral lists this ribosomal RNA (569 nucleotides) under uncultured bacterium. RNAcentral describes it as "partial 16S ribosomal RNA". It matches the Rfam family "Bacterial small subunit ribosomal RNA", at positions 355 to 914 of the family's 1533-position model. The record is from RNAcentral.
UGGGGAAUAUUGCACAAUGGGCGCAAGCCUGAUGCAGCCAUGCCGCGUGUGUGAAGAAGGCCUUCGGGUUGUAAAGCACUUUCAGCGAGGAGGAAGGUGGUGAGCUUAAUACGCUCAUCAAUUGACGUUACUCGCAGAAGAAGCACCGGCUAACUCCGUGCCAGCAGCCGCGGUAAUACGGAGGGUGCAAGCGUUAAUCGGAAUUACUGGGCGUAAAGCGCACGCAGGCGGUUUGUUAAGUCAGAUGUGAAAUCCCCGGGCUCAACCUGGGAACUGCAUUUGAAACUGGCAAGCUAGAGUCUCGUAGAGGGGGGUAGAAUUCCAGGUGUAGCGGUGAAAUGCGUAGAGAUCUGGAGGAAUACCGGUGGCGAAGGCGGCCCCCUGGACGAAGACUGACGCUCAGGUGCGAAAGCGUGGGGCAGCAAACAGGAUUAGAUACCCUGGUAGUCCAGCGCUGUAAACGAUGUCGAUUUGGAGGUUGUGCCCUUGAGGCGUGGCUUCCGGAGCUAACGCGUUAAAUCGACCGCCUGGGGAGUACGGCCGCAAGGUUAAAACUCAAAUGAAUUGAC